ACGGAGAAGGUGCUGGAACACAGCAAAAGGCCGAAGGCAAUGGGUCGCAGGGACAUGAGAGAAGUCCUAGGCGAUAAGGGCAAAUCCGAGGAAAUUUCAACCGGGGAGGUCGUUCAUGGCAGUUGACCAAAUGGGCGUGUCAAUUGGCCAAUUUGGUGGCAAAUGAAAAUGAGGCCCUUAAACUUGGCAAGGCGCACAUACGCUACACUUUGGUUGACUUGGGCCAUCAACG
RNAcentral lists this unclassified non-coding RNA (232 nucleotides) under Hevea brasiliensis (rubber tree). The record is from RNAcentral. Lineage: Eukaryota; Viridiplantae; Streptophyta; Magnoliopsida; Malpighiales; Euphorbiaceae.